This is an RNA transcript of Panicum virgatum (switchgrass), 3495 nucleotides long. It is a transcript of the gene named regulator of MON1-CCZ1 complex-like, with no coding region annotated. Lineage: Eukaryota; Viridiplantae; Streptophyta; Magnoliopsida; Poales; Poaceae. The transcript has 14 exons. The record is from RefSeq and is a predicted model, not a curated record.
CCCAAACGGCCCAGCAGCCUAGCGCAAAGCUUCUCCGCCCAUCCCCUCCCUGGAGACCGGGCAGGACGGCAAGGUAAGCGGCGAACGCCGGGCCGGCACGAGCUCUCGCCCCACCACCACCGAACCCUCGAUCGCAUCCAACCCCUUGGCCACUGCUCGGCACGAACUCCAGCGGCUAAAGACCCUCGAAUUUCGCUGCUCUUCCCGGGCGGCGCUUCUGCGGUGAGGUCUGUGUUGGGCAUGGUGGCCAGAGUACCCAGCUAGGGCUCGGAUGAAGGAGCGGAAGCCGGCGGCAUCCUCCCCCGCUCUCGCCCGGAUCCUCGCAUCCUGCGUGUCCCAGGCAAAAGAUUAUGGGAGAUGCAUAGCUGCAAAGGUCCCUGAGAUUGAACAUAAUAUGUGUUCUAAGGAGUUCCUAGCGCUCAGAGCAUGCAUGCAGACCGUGUCUAUCAUAGUCGCUUGAGGAGACAAAGAAUGCUGGGCAAUCAGAUGCAAGGUGGUUUGGGCACUCCUGGGGCGCUGUCUCAUGCUUAUGUCCAACAUCCUCCACUGCGAUGUGAUAUACCAGACACACGGGGUCUGUUCUAUGAUGAUGCAAAUAAGUUCCUUAUAGCUCCAACAGCUGAUCGGAUUUUGUACUGGAAAAUAGCUCCACCUAUUCCAUCUGGACCUCCAAAUUCUGAUCCAGUUAAUGAAGGACCUGUCUUGUCAGUUAGAUAUUCCCUGGAUCACAAAGUCAUUGGGAUUCAACGUUCUAGACAUGAAAUUGAGUUCAGAAAUAGAGAAACAGGGGAGACCUGUAGCAAAAAGUGCAGAGCCGAUUCCGAAACUAUUCUUGGCUUUUUCUGGACAGAUUGCCCCACAUGUGAUGUCAUACUUGUCAAAACAAGUGGCCUAGAUCUGCUUUCCUAUGAGUCUCAGUCCCAUGCUUUUCGCUUGGUAGAAUCAAAGAAAUUCAAUGUGAGCUGGUAUCUUUACACACAUGAAAGUAGGCUGAUUCUUCUUGCUUCUGGAAUGCAAUGCACGAUAUUCACUGGUUAUCAGUUUUCUGCUGGUGGGAUUGUCAAAAUACCGAAGUUUGAGAUGAUGAUGUCUAAAACUGAAGCAAACAACAAGCCUGUUCUAGCUGCAGAUGAUGUUCACAUUGUAACAGUCUAUGGUAGGAUUUACUGCUUGCAGCUUGACCGAGUUAGUAUGUCAUUGAAUUUGUAUCGUUUUUACCGUGAUGCUAUUGUACAGCAGUGUGCCCUGCCUACUUACUCAAGCAGAAUUGCAGUUAGUGCGGUUGACAACAUAAUUAUGGUUCAUCAAAUAGAUGCAAAAGUAGUCAUACUUUAUGAUGUGUCCUUGGAUUCUUACGCCCCAGUUUCUGCACCACUUCCACUGCUAGUGAGAGGGCUGCCCAGCAAUAGUAGGCAAGGUUCUGAAACUGCAGAUAGUCAAUAUAGUACAUAUGGUGGAACUAUUUAUGGAGAUGGUUGGAACUUUCUCAUUCCUGACCUGAUCUGUGAUGCUGAGAAUGGGCUCUUAUGGAGACUCCAUUUAGACCUUGAGGCUAUUGCUGCUAGUAGUUCUGAUGCUCCUUUGAUUUUGGAAUUCCUUCAGAGACGGAAGUCUGACCCAAGCAUGGUUAAGAUGAUAUGCCUUGCUAUAGUUCGUACGAUCAUCUUGGAGAGGAGGCCGGUGACCACAGUUGCUAAGGCAAUGGAUGUUGUUCUUGAUUCCUACUCCCGCCUGAUGAAAAUGGGUGGUGGUCUUCCUGGGGUUAGGCAAAUACAUGAGCAAAGCCAGCGAUUGGGUGGUCAACUUGUUGAAGACUCCCAUGUGAUUUCUCAGGGAACUAGUCCUGGACCAACAGUUAGUCCUUCUGUGAACCCAGACCAAGCAGGUGGGAUUGCAAACAGGUCUGCGCAGGGAAAUUCAGGAGUUGAUCAUGGAAUAGACAGGGCAACUUUAAAUACAUCUUCAGAUUCUGAUGAGAUUACAAAUGUAUCAGGAGUGACAAGUCAGGUAACAUCUGGUUACCAGACAUCUGAUGCUAUCAACAAAAGACAGCAAGUUGUGGGUGAAGAUAGCAGACCGUUGUCUUCAGGCACAACGAUGCAGUAUGGACAACAUGCUGGAAGUGUGGCAAUUUCUCCAAUUGAGAUGUUCCAGUCUGUCUUUGCACUUGUGGAAGAUGAAAUGAUGGGUGACCCUGCAUAUCUUACUGCUGUCAUCAUGGAGUUUCUGCGGAGUGCCUCAAAGGCUGGGCUCAAGGCUCCUCCCAACCUUUAUGUGAUGAUGGCAACAUUGCUAGCUCGUAGCAACCGUUAUUCUGAAAUACAAUUGUUUGUGUCAAACAAGAUCCUGGAGCCGUCCAAGGAACUGGCAAUGCAACUCAUGGAACUGGGUCAGCAGCACUCUCCAACAAGGAAGCUGGGCCUGGACAUGCUAAGGGAGCGGAGCCUGCACCACGACUACGUCGCUGCACUUCUGCAAGACGGGUACUACCUGGAGGCCCUGCGCCACGCCAGAAAAUACAAGGUUAUUACCGUGCAGCCCACUCUGUUCCUGGAGAAAGCCGUGGCGAGCAACAGCGCCCAGAACCUGGCCACAGUGCUGAGCUUCUUCUGCGAGUUCACGCCGAGUUUCAAGACCACGUCGGACUUCGGCAGAUACCGGCACAUUCUAUCCGAAAUGGUUUGAGCGGCUUUGUGUUGUACAAUCUUCUUGCGCCCAAAUGACUUCAGCCCGUUAUACAUAAUAGUUAACAUUACUGGGGAGAAAUGACGUUCUGUCAGAUCGUUGUGGCCGUUAAUUUUGUGAUCCGACGACGCACUCGGCCUGCAAAGGGGGCGGAGCGGGGUGCUCCUGAUGCUGAUCCGCUGCCCCAUUUCAUCAAAGACAGGGUCAAGUGUCAACCCGCCCCUUCUUCCAUUUGGCCAGAGAUGAUCUGUGGAGCACCACGGGUUGAACCUCCCUAGCUAGCUGGCUAGUCUAGCAAGUCAUAGUGCACAUGCAAAAACAAAACUUAACAGGGCUAAUGGCUGAUUAACUCUCAGCACUCAGCACUAGCGACCUCUUUGAUGCAUGCAUAUACUUGCUCAAUGAUUAAACAGAGAAAAUGCAAGGAGCAGGAAUCGCUCACGGAACCAGGCUGCGGCAAGAAGCAUUUAAGAGUGGACGUUCGACCCUAGGGUCUCCGGGGGUCAAUAGGAUAAUGACCCUGCCGCUCCUCUUUUUCUUAGGGUCGGUCCGCUUUGAUCCAUCGGCUGAUUUGAGGAGCGGGGCGACGUUGGAAAAGGUUUGACCCGGUCCCCUUGCAGCCAAUGUCGAAUCUUUUUACGGCUCGCGCAAAAUGAGAUGGUUGCAGGCACCUUAAUGCAGUCUAAGGCCUGGUUUAGAUGCAAACUUCAAAAUUCCAAAACUAUUACAUUGAAUGUAUGUGGCACAUGCAUGGAAUAUUAAAUCUAGACAAAAUAAAAAAUUAAUUACAUAGUUUUGUUUGUAAAUUAA